This 84-nucleotide transfer RNA is filed under the name Caudoviricetes sp. Its description in RNAcentral is "tRNA-OTHER". It matches the Rfam family "tRNA". Rfam says of the family: Transfer RNA (tRNA) molecules are approximately 80 nucleotides in length. Their secondary structure includes four short double-helical elements and three loops (D, anti-codon, and T loops). The record is from RNAcentral. Lineage: Duplodnaviria; Heunggongvirae; Uroviricota; Caudoviricetes.
GGGAUAGUAGCUUAAUGGCAGAGCAGCGUGGCGCCACUUAAAAACAACGAGAGCAAGAUGCGGGUUCGAGUCCUGCCUAUUCCA